This is an RNA transcript of Trifolium pratense (red clover), 1201 nucleotides long. RefSeq lists it as uncharacterized. Lineage: Eukaryota; Viridiplantae; Streptophyta; Magnoliopsida; Fabales; Fabaceae. The record is from RefSeq and is a predicted model, not a curated record. The transcript is spliced from 6 exons.
UUUGUAUUUCAAAAUGUUUAUUUAAAAUAUAUUUGAAAAUGAGUACUCUCUUCCUCCAGAGUUGUCACGUGGCGACGGCCCCAUCAUCCAAACCAAAUCAUCUUCAUCGUCUUCCUUCUUCCCUCUGCUGCACCAAAGCACAGCAACAGCAACAGCUCCAAGAACUACGGGUGUGCACCAACCGUACCUGCCGCAGACAAGGAUCCUUCCAAACUCUAGAAACUCUCUCCGGCAUCGCUCCUCCAAACGUUUCUGUAAAAUCCUCCGGCUGCUUAGGCUGCUGCGGAGCUGGCCCCAACCUCGUCUUCCUUCCAGAUGGCCUCAUCAUCCGCCAUUGCGGCACGGCUUCUCGUUGUUCGGAGGUCAUGGUAAGUCUGUUUGGUGGUGGUGGAGGAGAUAAUAAUCAUAAUUCCAACACUAGUUUGGAUGCUCUUGCUUUGAGGAAGAGAGCUGAUGUUGAGUUUCAAAACAAAAAUUUCGCUGAGGCCGAGCUUUUGCUCUCGCAGGCUAUAGAUUUAAAACCAUUUGGUGGCUUGCAUGUCACAUUCAAAUGCAGGUCAUUCGUAAGGAUGGAAUUAGGCAACUACUCGGGUGCCCUCGAAGAUGCAAAUGAGGCUUUGGCAUUAGCUCUCGGGUAUUCGGAGGCCUAUAUCUGCCAAGGUGAUGCAUUUUUGGCAUUGAACAAAUUUGAUUUGGCAGAGCAGUCUUAUUUAACAUCUUUAGAUAUAGAUCCUUCGAUUCGAAAUUCUAAAUCAUUCAAGGCUCGAAUAACAAAGCUUCAGGAAAAACUUGCUUCUGUUAAUACAUCAUAGGAUUUGGCUUAGUAAACUCAAUUACAGUAUUGGCUAGAGGAAUGGAUUUUUUAAAUAUUUACAGAUUACACAGUUGGUCAAAAGGCUUGAAAAUCUGAACACAAAAUGGAUGCCCCGGAUCUUGAAUUCUUUGACAAAGUGUCAGUGUCUAGUAAAUGGAUGAGGGCAGCACUGCCAUAUGUAGUCACCCAUAGGAGUUUAUUCACAUAGUCUAUGACCCGACAAGUCGAAUCGGGAAAAGUCUACUCUUCUCCCUGUAAGCUGAUGUUAGUUGUUGGCUAGGUAGAACCCUGAUUCAAUUUACCCAUAGAACUAAAAUUUCUUUAAUGGGUGGUAAAUUGAUGAUAUAUUUGUAACAUUUCCUUUUCAAUUUAUUCAUUAUCUUUGAA